CGGCCGGUUUGGCUGUAUUUGGCCUAUGCGAAAACAUAUCCAUAACAAUACCGAUAUAAUUUAGAUAAAAGCAGUGGAAUAGGUACGUACUAGUGUAAUGGUUACUUUGUUAUAAACAGUCAUUCGACAACCAUCGUUAUUAUAAUAUAAUAUAAUAUAUUUGUCGGCUUAUAAUCUUAUUCGGUCUUGUGUAUUAAAUAUUUUAUCAUAAUUUUAUUUUUUUA
Non-coding RNA from Cinara cedri, 224 nucleotides. Lineage: Eukaryota; Metazoa; Arthropoda; Insecta; Hemiptera; Aphididae. The record is from the annotation of a GenBank genome assembly.